UGUAGGAGCCGGCUUGCUGGCGAUGGCGCCAUCAGACAUUGCGGUGAGUUCAACAACGCCAUCGCCAGCAAGCCGGCUCCUACA
RNAcentral lists this unclassified non-coding RNA (84 nucleotides) under Pseudomonas migulae. The record is from RNAcentral. Lineage: Bacteria; Pseudomonadati; Pseudomonadota; Gammaproteobacteria; Pseudomonadales; Pseudomonadaceae.